AGUGAACGCUGGCGGUAGGCCUAACACAUGCAAGUCGAACGGCAGCACAGUAAGAGCUUGCUCUUACGGGUGGCGAGUGGCGGACGGGUGAGGAAUACAUCGGAAUCUACUUUUUCGUGGGGGAUAACGUAGGGAAACUUACGCUAAUACCGCAUACGACCUACGGGUGAAAGCAGUGGAUCUUCGCACCUUGCGCGAUUGAAUGAGCCGAUGUCGGAUUAGCUAGUUGGCGGGGUAAAGGCCCACCAAGGCGACGAUCCGUAGCUGGUCUGAGAGGAUGAUCGGCCACACUGGAACUGAGACACGGUCCAGACUCCUACGGGAGGCAGCAGUGGGGAAUAUUGGGCAAUGGGCGCAAGCCUGAUCCAGCCAUACCGCGUGGGUGAAGAAGGCCUUCGGGUUGUAAAGCCCUGUUGUUGGGAAAGAAAAGCAGCAGGUGAAAACCCCGCUGUUCUGACGGUACCCAAAGAAUAAGCACCGGCUAACUUCGUG
This 492-nucleotide ribosomal RNA is filed under the name uncultured bacterium. Its description in RNAcentral is "partial 16S ribosomal RNA". It matches the Rfam family "Bacterial small subunit ribosomal RNA", at positions 29 to 507 of the family's 1533-position model. The record is from RNAcentral.